GUGGUGUCUCAUUGUGUUUUAAUUUGCAUUUCCCUAAUGACUGAUGAUUCUGAACAUCAUUUCAUGUGUUUAUUAGACAUUCAUAUAUCUUUUUGGUUUCCUUAUUACUGAGAUAACACUGUGGAUUCCUGGCCUCUGUGUUUUGGAGAAAUGGAAAUUG
Molecule: long non-coding RNA, 160 nt
Organism: Pipistrellus kuhlii (Kuhl's pipistrelle)
Lineage: Eukaryota; Metazoa; Chordata; Mammalia; Chiroptera; Vespertilionidae
Exons: 2
Source: RefSeq, a predicted model, not a curated record